GCCAGGCGUGGUGAUGCACACCUGUAAUCCUAGCUACUUGGGAGGCUGAGGCAGGAGAAUUGCUUGAACCCAGGAGGCAGAGGUUGCAGUGAGCUGAGAUCAUACCACUGCACUCCAGCCUGGGUGACAGAGUAAGACUCUGUCUCCA
Macaca fascicularis (crab-eating macaque) is the source of this 148-nucleotide unclassified non-coding RNA. It matches the Rfam family "Metazoan signal recognition particle RNA". From Rfam's summary of the family: The signal recognition particle (SRP) is a universally conserved ribonucleoprotein. The record is from Ensembl. NCBI's taxonomy places the organism in Eukaryota, Metazoa, Chordata, Mammalia, Primates, Cercopithecidae.